RNAcentral lists this long non-coding RNA (891 nucleotides) under Mus musculus (house mouse). Its description in RNAcentral is "long non-coding RNA chr17:84214482-84215373". The record is from RNAcentral. Lineage: Eukaryota; Metazoa; Chordata; Mammalia; Rodentia; Muridae.
UACUUACAUAUAAUAAAUAAAUCCUUUAAAAAAAAAAAAAAAAAAAAAAAAAAGAAAGAAAGUAAGCCAGCAUGUGGGCUCUGGGAAUACUGUUCAACUGGUAAAGUGCUACAUGCAAGCAUGAGAACAUAGCCUGGCUCCCUGGGACCCAGGUAAAAAUCUGGGUACAGUGCCAUUUACCUGAAAUCCCAGAGCUGGGAGACACGAUAAGAGAUUUCUUGAGGUGAGCCAGUAUAACUGAUUUGGGAUCUUUAUUUAAAUAAGGUGGGGCAUGAUUGAGGAAGACAGUCAAUAUCAAACUCUAGUCAUCACAUGCACAAACCCCUCAAGAGACAGAAAGACUGGCUGGCCAUGGUGGUGCACGCCUUUAAUCCCAGUACUUGGGAGGCAGAGGUAGUCAGAUGUCUGUGAGUUCAAGGCCAGCCUGGUCUCAUCACAGGUUCUAAGACAGUUAGAAAUACAAAGAAGGACCUGUUUGGAGGCAGGGGGUCAGGGUUGGGGGUCAGGGGGGAGACUGACAGAAACAGAGAAAUCAUGAAGACCAUUCUUUAGCUGAGUCUCUCGGCUUCCUUUCUCUUUUUACCUGCUCCAUUUUAGCCUCCUUUCAUCUUUCCUGUAGUUGACUUAGCAGGGAACUAAGAUGCUCACCAGAACGUUAUAUCCUAAACUAAGCCUUGAAUUUCAAAUAUCAUUCUUGUCUCUUCAAGCCUCCCAACCCACUAAGUCCACCACUGCAAACUACAAAUAGUGGGAGUUUAAGUCCCUAUUUUCCGUGGUGAGAGGCAGCCCCACCACAGGCAAACCCUGUGACCGACUCCUUUUCUCUCCAGGUGGUUGGCCUUGAAUCUAGCAGGCUGUGCGUUGGGCAUCCUGCCUACUGGGUACUCAUUU